CACCUGGUUGAUCCUGCCAGUAGUCAUAUGCUUGUCUCAAAGAUUAAGCCAUGCAUGUCUAAGUAUAAGCUUUAAACGGCGAAACUGCGAAUGGCUCAUUAAAACAGUUAUAGUUUAUUUGGUGAUCGAUUACUAUUUGGAUAACCGUAGUAAUUCUAGAGCUAAUACAUGCGUCAAGGCCCGACUUCGGAAGGGCUGCGUUUAUUAGAUACAGAACCAACCUAGGCUCCGCCUAGUCCUUGUUGGUGAUUCAUAAUAACCCGGCGAAUCGCACGGCUUGUCCGGCGAUGGACCAUUCAAGUUUCUGACCUAUCAGCUAUGGACGGUAGGGUAUUGGCCUACCGUGGCGUUGACGGGUAACGGGGAAUUAGGGUUCGAUUCCGGAGAGGGAGCCUGAGAAACGGCUACCACAUCUAAGGAAGGCAGCAGGCGCGCAAAUUACCCAAUCUUGAUACAGGGAGGUAGUGACAAGAAAUAACAAUACAGGGCAAUUCUGUCUUGUAAUUGGAAUGAGUAGAUUUUAAAUCUCUUUACGAGUAUCAAUUGGAGGGCAAGUCUGGUGCCAGCAGCCGCGGUAAUUCCAGCUCCAAUAGCGUAUAUUAAAGUUUGUUGCGGUUAAAAAGCUCGUAGUUGGAUUUCUGCCUUGGGCGACCGAUCCACCUUUCCUACGGG
This 672-nucleotide non-coding RNA is filed under the name Perkinsus marinus ATCC 50983. RNAcentral describes it as "Eukaryotic small subunit ribosomal RNA". It matches the Rfam family "Eukaryotic small subunit ribosomal RNA", at positions 1 to 675 of the family's 1831-position model. The record is from Rfam by way of RNAcentral. Lineage: Eukaryota; Perkinsozoa; Perkinsida; Perkinsidae.